UUAAAAAAGAAGUAUAAAACACACAAUUAGGGUUUUUUUCCUCACUUUUCCCUCUCUCAAAUCACACGCCCUUCCCUCUGAAGCUCUCACGCCGUUUCUCUCUCCCUCUCAACCUCUCAUCUCCUAUCUCUCUCUUCCCUCUCUUCACUUUCUCAUUCUUCUCGCACCUAACACCAACACAAACGCUGAGGCUUCCUUCCCCAACUCCCUCACUCAAUUCCCCAACACCAACCCUAAUAUCUCCUUUGUCGUCGCCAAUGACCAACCAAAAAUACGAAGAGAAUCGGAGACACAAAGACGAGAAGAAGACUCCGUCGCAACCAUGUAAAUAAUUCGUCGAAGACUCCGUCGCAACCACCUUAAUCCUCGAAUUUUUUUGAUCUGCUCGCGUCUUGAUCUGCUCUGGUCUUGAUCGUCGUCGCUCCAUUGUCAGCCGACUCGCAUCACCGCCAUCGUUGCCGUCGCUUCAUCACCUGGACUCCAAGUCCAAACUUCUUCGCUCCUCCUCCAGUCCGCCGACUCUUUUUUAUUCAUUUCUCAUAUGUUUUUAAAUUCAGCAAACAUAUGAUUUUUUUAAUUCAAUUCUUUAGCAAUCUGGAAAAAUAAUCAUAUAAAAUCUGAUCAGAAUUUACUAUUCGCGUUCUUUCCUCUUACCCCAUUUUCUCUCUUUUCAUCUUCAAUCUGGGUUUUUAAUUUAAUUUGGGGGAGUGAAAGUUUAGGAUAAUUUACCAGAUCUCGUUUUGUUUCGUUUAAAGGUUUAAUUGUUGUAGAACUGAAAAGGUUUUGAUUUUUGGGUUUUGAUCGUUGAAUUUGAAGUAGACAGAAGUUUAAGCUGAAUAAAGUCUAAAUAUUUGGAGGAGAAUUAGUGUUGUAGUCAUUGUUUCAGAUUUGUUUGUUCAGUGUAAUUAUCAUUUUCGUUUGUUCAGUGUAGUGUAAAUCUCGUUUAUUGUAAUUCUUCUGUAUCGCAAAUUUUUUUCAUUAGUUUCAUUUUUUUUGGUAUUGUUGUUUUUUACUUUAAUUUGUUCAGUUUUUUCUUGUUGUUUUUUCUUUGUUAGUUUCAUUUCGUUUUCUGAUUUUUUUUGCAAUUUUUCUGAAUUUUUUUUAUGUUUCGAAUUAAAUGGCAAAAUGCUAAAAAAAAAAAUCUUGUUUACACCUGUACCUAUUGCUGCGGUUUUUCCAAGAAACCGCAGCAAUAUCCCUUUUAUAAAUCUGAUAUAAAAUAAAUAUAUUGCUGCGAUUUUACCCCAAAACCGCCGCAAUAUGUUCAAAUAUUGCUGCGAUUUAAAAUUGCAGCAAUAUAUUAAUUACCUAUUGCUGCCUCCUUAAUUGCUGCGUGGCUAAAAACGCCGCAAUAAGCCACUUAAUGACCGCAACAAUAAGCAUUUAUUCUACUUGUGUAGUAAUCGAAAAUAACCAAGAUCCAAACAGUUCAUGUCUAGGCUGUUAGGAGGCUAUUGUAUCAACUUAAAAUCGAAUCCAUCUAGUAGUCUAUGCUGUUGAAAAACUGGAUCGUCAUUUGUUAUGUGUGAUGGUGCAUUAUCUUACUGAAUGUAAAUGACCUUACUUAAGUCAUCUGACCAUUUCUCCCCGAUAGCAGGCAUAAUCUUGUUAACCAACAUGUCCCUUAUAAUAUCCUUUGUAAUUGCUUCGAUGGGUUUGGUUUCUAAAGUGCCCGUAGGCCUGUUUUCUGAUCUUCUCUAUGCUGGAACUUGUUUGAUGAAAGCCCAUAUGCCAAUCUUGCCACUAAAUGCACAAGAACCAUCUUGGUUCCACCUUCGUCUUGCAACAACAGCUAUAAACAUAGCUUUAGGUAUGAAAUUCUUAUUUUUUUUUAUCUUCCUCCAUGGUGUUUUUUCCCUUGGAUGGAGAUAUGCUCUUACCCUUUUCUGAGUCAUGUAGAACCAUUUUUCAUCUAUAUGGACAAUAUUUCUCAAGUCUAUGUAUGUUGGAUUCGUUUAAAGUGUGUUUUUUUUGUAUUAAACUUAGUACCCACAUACAUCUUCUCAAUUGUUUUUUCAUGUUCAAAUCAGGCUUUAAUGGGUUUGUAUGUGGCCUUAAUCCCCCCCCCCCCCCACCCUUUUAACUAUCCUUCCUAGUGUUGUGAAAUGCAAGUUAAGUGAAGUUGCUAAUGACCUCAAACUUGUUCUUUGAUAUAAAGGUACAGAUGAAACCUGUUGAAGAGUGAUUGUGGCUCUCUUCCUUCCACACUUGUGCUUGUUGGUUUUGACGUUUAUGAGUUGCCUGUUAUCAUGUUGCUGCUUGGCCUUCUUCCAUAUGGUGUAGACUGUCAUUGUGCUGAUGUUGAACUUCUCAGCACAUAGCUUCUUGGCUCCCCAUGGUAGAUUUCCCACCACUGUGUGACUUAGAAGCCACUCUGCUACUUUUUGUCAUACCUCAUUGCUGAGCCUAGGCCCAUGAUGUGGCUGAGAUACAAAUGCUACAGGGACAGAUGCUUCAUCUUCAUUGUUAGACCCUUCAUGCCCUGAGGCCAUUGAUGGCAAUGAUGCCCAAUAUUUAACUCUUUUUUUCUCCUCUUUUAAGUCACUUAAUGGUGUGGAGUGUGGACAUUGUGGAGUUCUUAUGGGGUUUUAUAUACUUGAUUCAAAAUUUGUAACUUGGUUGCAUUUUUAUUAGGAGGGAAUUUGAAUCGAAAACACACGUAUGAAAUUAAAGAAGGAAAUGAAAAUGUAGCUUUCCCUGCUUAUUUUUGGUUGGCUGGUGUAAUUAAUGUAAUUCUACUUUUCAUCUUUGUUUAUUAAAAUAAAAUCAGGUGUCACUUUCAUGCCUUA
Long non-coding RNA from Beta vulgaris subsp. vulgaris (sugar beet), 2789 nucleotides. RefSeq lists it as uncharacterized. The transcript has 2 exons. NCBI's taxonomy places the organism in Eukaryota, Viridiplantae, Streptophyta, Magnoliopsida, Caryophyllales, Amaranthaceae. The record is from RefSeq and is a predicted model, not a curated record.